Molecule: transfer RNA, 72 nt
Filed under: Candidatus Woesearchaeota archaeon
Lineage: Archaea; Nanobdellati; Candidatus Woesearchaeota
Also listed under: 1 other name
Description: tRNA-Arg
Rfam family: tRNA
About the family: Transfer RNA (tRNA) molecules are approximately 80 nucleotides in length. Their secondary structure includes four short double-helical elements and three loops (D, anti-codon, and T loops).
Source: RNAcentral
GGGCCUAUAGUCUAAUGGACAGGACAUGCGGCUUCGGACCGCAGAAUCGGCGUUCGAAUCGCCGUAGGCUCA